RNAcentral lists this ribosomal RNA (253 nucleotides) under uncultured bacterium. RNAcentral describes it as "partial 16S ribosomal RNA". It matches the Rfam family "Bacterial small subunit ribosomal RNA", at positions 524 to 776 of the family's 1533-position model. The record is from RNAcentral.
GACAGAGGUGCCGAGCGUUAGGCGGAAUCACUGGGCUUAAAGCGUGUGUAGGUGGAUGUCUAAGUACCUUGUGAAAUCCCACGGCUUAACCGUGGGACGGCUCGGUAUACUGGAUGUCUUGAGCCAGCUAGGGGCUACCGGAACAAAUGGUGGAGCGGUGAAAUGCGUAGAUAUCAUUUGGAACGCCAAUGGUGAAAACAGGUAGCUGGGGCUGUGCUGACACUGAGACACGAAAGCCAGGGGAGCGAACGGG